GAUGAACGCUGGCGGCGUGCCUAUCACAUGCAAGUCGAGCGAUUCUCUUCGGAGAAGAGCGGCGGACGGGUGAGUAACGCGUGGGUAACCUGCCCUGUACACACGGAUAACAUACCGAAAGGUAUGCUAAUACGAGAUAAUAUACUUUUAUCGCAUGGUAGAAGUAUCAAAGCUUUUGCGGUACAGGAUGGACCCGCGUCUGAUUAGCUAGUUGGUAAGGUAACGGCUUAGCAAGGCGACGAUCAGUAGCCGACCUGAGAGGGUGAUCGGCCACAUUGGAACUGAGACACGGUCCAAACUCCUACGGGAGGCAGCAGUGGGGAAUAUUGCACAAUGGGCGAAAGCCUGAUGCAGCAACGCCGCGUGAGCGAUGAAGGCCUUCGGGUCGUAAAGCUCUGUCCUCAAGGAAGAUAAUGACGGUACUUGAGGAGGAAGCCCCGGCUAACUACGUGCCAGCCGCCGCCGUAA
This 468-nucleotide ribosomal RNA is filed under the name uncultured bacterium. RNAcentral describes it as "partial 16S ribosomal RNA". It matches the Rfam family "Bacterial small subunit ribosomal RNA", at positions 28 to 523 of the family's 1533-position model. The record is from RNAcentral.